RNAcentral lists this ribosomal RNA (482 nucleotides) under uncultured bacterium. RNAcentral describes it as "partial 16S ribosomal RNA". It matches the Rfam family "Bacterial small subunit ribosomal RNA", at positions 28 to 523 of the family's 1533-position model. The record is from RNAcentral.
AGUGAACGUUGGCGGCGUGGAUUAGGCAUGCAAGUCGAGCGAGAACCGUAGCAAUACGGGGACAGCGGCGAAAGGGACAGUAAUGUGUAGGUACCUACCUCCGGGUUCGGGAUAGCUGCGGGAAACUGCAGGUAAUACCGAAUAACGUCUCCGGACCAAAGGUGUGAUUCCACCUGGAGAGGGGCCUUCGUCCUAUUAGCUUGUUGGCGGGGUAACGGCCCACCAAGGCGACGAUGGGUAGCGGGUGUGAGAGGACGACCCGCGUCAUUGGGACUGAGACACUGCCCAGACACCUACGGGUGGCUGCAGUCGUGAAUCUUCGGCAAUGGGCGCAAGCCUGACCGAGCGACGCCGCGUGCGGGAUGAAGGCCUUCGGGUUGUAAACCGCUGUCGUAGAGGAGGAAAUGCAGGGGGGUUCUCCCCUCUGUUUGACCUAUUCUAGGAGGAAGUACGGGCUAAGUUCGUGCCAGCCGCCGCGGUAA